CCUACGGGAGGCAGCAGUGGGGGAUAUUACACAAUGGAGGAAACUCUGAUGCAGCGACGCCGCGUGAGGGAAGACGGUCUUCGGAUUGUAAACCUCUGUCUUUGGGGAAGAAAAUGACGUUACCCAAACAGGAAGCUCCGGCUAACUACGUGCCAGCAGCCGCGGUAAUACGUAGGGAGAGAGGGUUGUCCGGAAUUACUGGGUGUAACGGGAGCGUAGGCGGGAGAGAAAGUUGAAUGUUAAACCUACCGGCUAAACUGGGAGCUGCGUUCAAAACUUCUUGUCUUGAGUGAAGUAGAGGCAGGCGGAAUUCCUGGUGUAGGGGUGAAAUGCGUAGAUAUCAGGAGGAACAUCAGUGGCGAAGGCGGCCUGCUGGGCUUUAACUGACGCUGAGGCUCGAAAGCGUGGGGAGCAAACAGGAUUAGAUACCCUUGUAGUC
RNAcentral lists this ribosomal RNA (439 nucleotides) under uncultured bacterium. RNAcentral's name for it is "partial 16S ribosomal RNA". It matches the Rfam family "Bacterial small subunit ribosomal RNA", at positions 338 to 795 of the family's 1533-position model. The record is from RNAcentral.